Long non-coding RNA from Bos taurus (domestic cattle), 1673 nucleotides. The record is from Ensembl. NCBI's taxonomy places the organism in Eukaryota, Metazoa, Chordata, Mammalia, Artiodactyla, Bovidae.
CUAUAACGUGUUAGUAGUUAGUGUGGAGAAGAAAAGCCGGAGCGGGGAUGAAUGUAAAAAGCAUAUGGUCCGAAUCACAUUUAGGAGGAGAGGCCUGCCGCUUAAUAUAACUAAGUCCCGGCGGCUUAUAUACUUACGGGAAAAAUCAUCAAAGAAAUUGGAAAGGGAGCAGUGAGAGUUACAAAAAGCCCUUUUAAAGCAGGAAAACGAACUCCCUCUACCCACUCAAGAAUUUUUCAGCUCUCACCCUGUCCAUGCCUCUCAGCAUCACUCAUUGGCGAGCUUCACAUUGAAAGGGGGGAACAAAUGUCCAGUGAGGCAUUUGUUUCUAGAGGGGAAACCAGCAAUCCAUUUCUUGAGGUAACAAUGAUGCCCCGGUCUGCCACAUUUGCGAGAGCCUCCUAUACACCCCCAUGGAUCCCCGAAGUCACCCUCCGGGGCUCAAGACAGAGGACAGAGACCAUGCGACCAACGAGUGAUUGAACUUGCGCCUGACCGGCGGGGGACGCGGCUAAGCAGAAAGAAGAUCCUGGAGUCUCGUCCCACACCAUUGUGGCAUCAGGCUGCCUGAGGAUCUCGGCGGCCGAAGCUUUUCGGAGCAAACGGGACCUAAAACGGCUUGCAACCCCGCCAGCCCCGUACAGACGCGGCUGCCUGGUCCUUCGUAUUCUAGAACUCUGGAAACCAGCAACCGUUCACGCCAAGGUCGCGCCUGCCCCCACCAUCUAAGGCGGGUGUAGGGGUGUCGCUCCCGCACUGCAGCGUCUGAGGCGCGGCGACAUCCGCCGAGCGCUCCCCCUGGGCCAGGGCCGCGAGGCCCGAAGGCGCCCGGGGCUCCUGGGUCGAGGCGCACGCACCCCGCCGGCACCAGGAGGGCGUGUGGGGACCCGGGGCGGUGAUCAGAUCCCUACACCGUUUUAGAAGAGUGUCGCCUCGGGAGCCUGACGACCCCAUUUGCUUUCUGGGCCAAAGGAAAAGGAAAGAUGUACCCUCCGAGAUGAAAUGAGAGCAGCCCCGAACUUUAACAUUUUAAGACAGUCUUUUCUCUGCGACUCCAGAAACCAAAAAGAGUCGGGAAAAUAAUUUUAAGUACGUUAGCGAAAACUUCAAGAAACAAGAGUUUCUUUUCCCCGGAGUAUUUGCUUUCGGGGCGCUAGUGCAAUGCCCCAGGACAAGCCCUCUUUCCAGAACUCUCUGGCGACUCCUCGGCAGUCUCAGAAUAAAGCUCUGCGGGGUGAGGCGGAGAGAGGUGAGGACUUCAGCGCUGAAGUCCCUUCUCGAUUCGAGCGGCACGACAAUAAAUAGUGGGAAACGGCCGGCGCUGCCCGCCUGUCAGGGAAAGCUGGGUACAAACGCCACGAACCGAGACCAGACCGUCAGAACAACAACGCUGCAAGGCCGAAGCCCCGUGCGGGAACCGAAAGGCACCCCACCCCAAGACUCUAGGCCCAGACUCGGCUCACCUAGCCGGCACCAAAGCCUCCAGGGCGGGGAGACUUCCGGAGCACGCGGGCCCCACCCACCUAACGCCCCGCCCACUCUCCCAGAACCCUCUUGCACCGUCUGGGCCGCAGCUUAGAGCUACUGAAAAGUUUGCAGGCCUUUGGCCAGGGGUAGGGGAAGGCACUUAACGAAUACUUGACUGAGUGAAGGCCUCGCUUUUCCCUGGGGGC